This is a non-coding RNA of Sus scrofa (pig), 1333 nucleotides long. NCBI's taxonomy places the organism in Eukaryota, Metazoa, Chordata, Mammalia, Artiodactyla, Suidae. The record is from RefSeq and is a predicted model, not a curated record.
AAGGCGUGGACUGAGCCGGCGGGGCGGGUCCCUUCGGAAGAGAGGCGGGACCUGGCGCUUGGCCCCGCUGCUGUCUUCACCGCGGGUUGAGGAGCAGCGUCUUCCUUGUAGGCUUCGGCUUCCUAGCCGCUUGGCCUCUGCUUUGGCUCCGCGGAAGCGCGGCCCUCCUUGGCCGGAUUCUCCCACUUCCCUCUUCUGGAAGCAGGGAAUCUUUAUUGAACUCUCCAGGCCCUGAUAUCCCCUCUUAAAUCUUUUCACCGCUCUCAACUUUGUAAUAAUGGGGGCUGGAAAGCUGCAAGAUUGGCUUUUGUCCUAAACCAUUUGUGGCUAUGAACUUGCCAGAUGAAAGCCAGUGGGAUGAAACUACGUGUCACCUGGCUGUUUGUCAGCAUCCGCAAUGCUGGGCAGCUAUCCGCCGGAUUGAGAGGGGCCACCCUCGAAUUCUAAGCUCCUCCUGCAAACCACCUCUGAAUGUUGAAGAAAGACUCCCAAUGCUCACUGUUGUAAACCUCACCGAUUCCUGCUUCGAGGCCAAGAGGCUUGCUCACCGUCAUUUGUCAAAAUUUGCGUUCACCAAGGCGCGUCCUUUAUUGUCCCAAGGUUCAAAGUUUGACUUGAAAUUUCAAGGCAGGUAAACUAUCAUGGAAUCUUCUUUAAAGGGCUUACUACCUCAAAAUUCCUGAUUGACAUCCUUUGCCCAUAUAGUAGACUUUGGGAAAGCUAGAUUAAGCGUGACAUCAGUUCAGUUAAAGGAGUGAUGAAUAGGCAGUGGGAAACAAAGAAGCCUUAUUUGCAGUGUAGGAGUUGGUGAAAAUGGGGGAGGUGUUUCAGUUUUCUAGGGUCACCAUAACAAAGUACUAGAGUUGUUAUAGACUGUGUGCCUUAACAACAAAUUAAUUUUCUCCCAGUUCUAGAAGCUAGAAGUCCAAUUAAGGUGUUGGCAGAGGUGUUUUCUUCUGAGCCCUCUCUCCUUGCCUUCUUAGUGGCCCUCUUCUCCCUGUGUCUUAACACUGUCGUCCCUUUGUGUGUAUCCGUGUCUGAAUGUCUUCUUCUUGCAAGCACACAAGUCAUAUUGGACUAGAGCCCACCUAUGUGACCUCAUUUUACCCUCAUUGUCUCCUUGAAGACCCUAUCUCCAAAUACAAAUUCAGAGUUAAGAGGGAGUUAGGACUUCAACAUAAGAAUUUUGGGGAACCCAAUUCAGCCCAUAACAGAGAGUGUCUCACCAGCUUCUGUAGAUCUUUAGAAAACUGUCCAUAUAUGCUGCAUUUCUUUUUGUUGUUGUUGUUUUGUUUUUCAGGGCUGUACCCGAGGCACAUGGAGGUUCCCAGGC